CGGCGGCGGAGUACCGGGAGAGGGCCGGGCCGCAGCCCAGUCCCGGUACCCACGCGAGUCGUGAGCGCCGCCAGGUGCCGAUGGAGGUCAGCGGCCUGCCGGCGGAGCUGUGGCGGCUCAUCUUAUCCUACCUGCGCCUCCCCGACCUGGGCCGCUGCAGCUCGGUCUGCAGGACCUGGUACGAGCUCGUCCUCAGCCUGGACAAAACGCGCUGGCGGCAGCUCUGCCUGGGCUGCCUGGAGCACAGGCACCCCAACUGGCCCAACCAGCCCGGCGUGGAGCCGCGGUCCUGGAGAGAGGCCUUCAAACAGCACUACCUGUCCUCCAAAACCUGGACCAAAAACACGCAGGACCCGGAGUCCUCCAACUGCCUCUCCCUUUUCCGGAGGAGGAAAGGCCGGCGCCGGCUCUGCGUCGGCGAUGGGGGUGAGUUUAGCAGCCUCCGGGCCGCCCUGGCUGCCGCCGGCCCUUACGACCGCCUCGUGCUGCUGCCCGGCGUGCACGAGGAGCAGAGCGAGGUGCUGCUGAAGGUGCCCGUGGAAGUUGUGGGGCAAGGCAAGCUGGGGGACGUGGCGCUGCUGGUGAGCAUUGACCAGCACUGCCCCACCGCCCGCCUCUGCAACGUGGUCUUCAUGCCGGCGCGCUUCACCUCGGUGGUCUACAAGACAACCUCAGGCUAUGUCCAGUUCGACAAUUGCAAUUUUGAAAGUGGGCAGCUGCAGAUCCAUGCACCAGGGACGUGCCAGGUGAAGUUCUGCACCUUCAGCCAGUCCAGCAUCUACCUCCGCAGCGUGGCCCUCUGCAUCCUGGAGAACUGUGAGUUCACCGGCAGCGAGAACGCCUCUGUAACUGUGGAGGGCUGCCCGAGCUCUGACCGUAACUGGGCCUGCAAGCACCUGGCCGCGCUGGCCAAGUCCUGCGCAGCGUCCAUGCGGGAGCCCGACCCAGCCGACUGCCCCAUGGCCAAGCGGGAUGGCUCGGGGGAAUUGCUGCUGGGGCCAGUGAGAACAUGUGAGAUUGUCGUAGGGGAAGAACGAAGCAGCUUACUCUCUGCUGCGGGUGCUCAAGACCUGCUUGGCUCAGCCCAGGAGGACUCUGAAUUCGGAGAGAGCCUGCAGGCAGCAAAGGAGGAGGAGUACCCGGUCCUCGACUCAAACUCCAGUGACAGUGACUUACACAGCGACGAUGAAGAGGAUGCUCAGGCUAUGUACAAACUGCCCUAUCAAGGCCACAGCCUGAGUCACACGCUUGCUGACAUUAUGGACAGCAGACUCCAAAGCAGCAGGCUGCACGCCCUUCAGAAGGACCUUAAGCUCAAGUCCCUGGAGCAGGAGCUGCAGCAGGACAAGGAGGCCCAGUCUUUGGCCAACUCUCUGCAAGGCUGCAUCAUCCGACAGUGCCUUUUCAGGGACGGGAAGGGAGGAAUAUUCAUUUAUUCACGAGGGCAAGCAAAACUGGAAGAAAGCAUCUUCAGGGAUCUGACCUACGCAGUGCGUUGCGUACAAAACAGUAAGGUCAUCAUGCUGAGGAAUGACAUUCACCAUUGCAAAGCAUCAGGGAUAUUCCUGCGCCUGUCAGCAGGAGGCCUGAUUGCAGACAACAAUAUCCAUUCGAACUCUGAGGCCGGAGUGGACAUUCGUAAGGGAGCCAACCCCCUUGUUCUGUGCAAUAAGAUACACAGUGGCCUUCGCUCGGGCAUUGUCGUCGUUGGCAACGGAAAAGGCAUCAUCCGUAGCAAUCAGAUCUAUGGGAAUAAAGAAGCUGGCAUUUAUAUUCUGUAUAAUGGAAACCCUGCUGUGAGUGGGAACCAUAUUUUCCAGGGACUGGCUGCUGGAAUAGCAGUGAAUGAGAACGGGAGAGGCCAAAUCACAGGGAAUGUCAUCUGCGAGAACCAGUGGGGCGGUGCGGACAUCCGCCAUGGGGGCGACCCCGUCCUCAGGAACAACCUCAUCUCCGGCGGCUACUCGGACGGCGUGGUGGUGGGCGAGCGCGGGAAGGGCCUCAUCGAAGGAAACGCCAUUUACGGCAACAAGGGCUGCGGCGUGUGGAUGACGUCCUCCAGCCUCCCGCACCUCAUCAACAACCAGAUCAGCCACAACAGCAUCUACGGAGUGGCGGUGUUCUGCCGCAAGGACGACGCUGGUGACUACCCCCCCGGUCAGGGGGGCAGCGAGAACUUCCAGGAGGAGAGGGAAGGUGCUGGCGGGGAGAACGACCCCAACAGUGAGGAGGAGCACCCGGCUGCCCGGCGUCCCAUCAGCGUGGCGCUGGUGGAGUUGAACAGCAUCAACCACAACGGAGCUGCUGGGUUGCACGUCAAGAGCAGCGAGGCGCUCAACGUCAUCGCCAACGUAAUUCAUGCCAACCGCGACGGCGGGGUGGCGGUGCUGCAGAGCAGCCGGCUGACGCGCAUUGCGAACAACAGCAUCUCCUGCAACAGCCGGGGAGGCGUGCUGGUCGAGGCCGAGUGCCAGGUGGAGCUGCGUGGCAACGGCAUCUAUGAGAACAGCAGCCACGGCAUCGUCUCCAAGGGAGAGGGCAUCAUCAUGGAGAACGACAUCGUCGGCAACCACAGGUGUGGCCUUCGGCUGCUCCAGGCAGCGGACAUGAAGGUGCGUCCUGCAGAGAGCUGAAGGGGGGGCACCGACUUGUGCCUCCCUACGGCCAGGGGCGAGACAGAGCCUGGUGCCGCUGCCCUCCCACCUUGGUUGAAGGGGAAGACAGUUAGCAAGCCCCCAGUUAGCCAGCAGGACAGGAGGGACCGCCCUGGCAUUGCCAGCGGGAGGAGCAGACAAUCAGGAUUCCAUCCUCGACCCUGCGAUUAGAGGGGGGUGUGAUUUCCAGGCUACGUUAGGAUUGUGUCUAGCUGAUUGAGGAAGGUUGUCCCCCAUCUCCUUUGGCGUUGGGAGGUGCACCUGAAAUGUUGUGUCCAGUUUGGGACCUCGAGGUCAGGAGGGAGGUGGAGUAAAGGGAGAGGGUCCAUGGUAGAGCUACCAGGGUGGGCAAGUGCUGGGACACAUGACUGAUGAGAUGAGGCAGAGGGAGCUGGGCUUGGUUAGUCUGGCAAAGAGGAAGCCAAGGAGGAUCUAACAGUAGCCCACAGCUCCCUGAAGGGCCGUCAGAGCCAAGACUCCUCAGCAGUGCCAGCAAGAGUCAACAGCACAACUUGCGGUGGUCCCUGGGCACGGGGAGGUCCAGGUGGGAGACUGGGGGACCCUUCUUGCCUUGGAGGGUGGUGCAGCCCUUGGAGAGGUCGCAGAGCGGUGUGGGGUCACCAUCCUUGGGGGUUUCCAAGCCUCGGCAGAAAAAAGCCAGGGCUGCUCUGGUCUAGUGCUGUAGACAGUCCUACUCCAGAGCUCCCUUCCACCAGCACUCCUUAACUCCAGGUUUUUUCGUGGGCAGUCACUGGGAAUGGGCUGGAGGAAAGUCAGCAGAAAUUGUUUGAGGGGAGACAUAGGUGGGAGUUAAGCAAGCAUUUGUUUUUAAUAGGGCCAGCAGUGCAAAACUGGAAUGCAUUGCUCAGAAGAAAGUGACGUUUCCAUCCCUAGUGGGUUUGAAGCGUGUCACAUCCUAACAUCCAUCAAGAGAGGUUUAGAAGUGCUCUGUAGGGCCCAGAGGGAGGAGGUGAGAUCUCCCUAACCUCAGCGUUGUUGGGUCCAUGCUUAUUAUUGCUCACAUGCAGCAGGAAAGCACACAUGUACCAGCAGAGCUGGCCAUGCUGCCCCAGAGCACUCGGUGCCCACAGUGACAGGAGUGUGAAAGGAGGUCUAUUAGCAGCAGCUGCUUUUCAGAUGGGCAAGCACAUGGGGGAAGGGCUUCUGCGAGCUCACGCCAUUGCUCAGUGGCAAAGAGUAAAUCUUGGAAGUCCUAUCUCAAGGCUGUAUCCUGUUUGACAGUGAUCCACAGGUGGCUCGUCACAUCUGUCUGAUGUUUAAACCUUGGUAAAGGACAGCUCAGUCAUCAUUUCCCACAUGCGGAUUCACAGAUAGCUUGUAGAUGAGACCUCUCUUCCUCAGAGCAGCAAAGGGAAUCCUGUGCAUUUGGGUGCAAUGACGUUCGACAAAGUCCAUCUUCUCCCAGGCUUGUCCCCUGUAUUUAACUGAGUGGCACAGUCAAGUGGGUGAUCCUGUAGGCCUCUGUUGGAGAUUUGCAGGCUGUGUGAGCUGUGCUGAAGAACUGGAUUUAUUGGAACUAGAUUUUUUGGAAGUUAGAUGCAGUGUUCCAGCAUCUGGCCAGUUCCCAAGGUUAAUACCUGGCUCAAGGUUGCCUCCGUUCUGUUCUUUGUUGAGGUGAGGCCAUCGGGCAUCAAAAUGAUAGAUAAAUGCAAUUUAACUCAUCGUCAAGGACCCCUAAAAUGAGUAUACAGAAAGCCCCGCCAAGACAAAUGCUCUGCAUGAGUCCUGCAGGGGCUGCAGACUCCUUUUGAAAACCAUGCCUGUUAAAAAAACAUUGUCCUCUGGACCAGAAGGUAAAGACCACUGAAUUUUCUGUGGUGCCAGCUGUCCAGUCUCCUGGAGCACCCAGGCAGGAUACAUAUUGCAGGGUUCAUUUGGGGAGCGGAGCAGGGGGCAUAGGUCCUUGCUGAAGUACUGGCGAUGUCGUGGUGCUGUUGUUUCUCAUCUGCCCACUGGCAGAGCCGGAGAAAUGCCUGAGAGCAGGUGAGAUGAUGUGUGGUACUGGGUGGGGAGAAGCGCUGGGCAAGAAGCGUUGCAGCAUCUGUUGCUGUGGAUCCAAGGAGGAGAAAGGACCAAACUGAUCUUCCAGAUGGUGGCAAAGCAAGAGCUGUGGCCUUGUCUUUCUUGGGAAGAGGAGACUCCUAAGUGCUCUUUUUUCAUAUACAAAGAAGUGACAGCCUGUAAGUCCAGCCGUUUGAAACCUGAAGGGCAAGGAGCAGCAGCAGGUGACGAAGAACAGGAUCCAGUCCUUUCAGGACUAUGGGAUUGCUCUCUUUGAU
Molecule: RNA transcript, 4954 nt
Organism: Aquila chrysaetos chrysaetos
Lineage: Eukaryota; Metazoa; Chordata; Aves; Accipitriformes; Accipitridae
Gene: FBXO10
Gene name: F-box protein 10
Exons: 10
Source: RefSeq, a predicted model, not a curated record